UACAGAGGUCCCCAAGCGUUGUUCGGAUUCACUGGGCGUAAAGGGUGCGUAGGUGGUUGGGUAAGUCUGAUGUGAAAUCUCCGAGCUCAACUCGGAAACUGCAUCGGAUACUAUUCAACUCGAGGGUUGGAGGGGGGACUGGAAUGCUUGGUGUAGCAGUGAAAUGCUUAGAUAUCCUGAGGAACACCAGUGGCGAAAGCGACUUUCUGGCACGAAACUGACGCUGAGGCUCGAAAGCAUGGGUAGCGAACGGGAUUAGAAACCCCUGUAGU
This 272-nucleotide ribosomal RNA is filed under the name uncultured bacterium. RNAcentral describes it as "partial 16S ribosomal RNA". It matches the Rfam family "Bacterial small subunit ribosomal RNA", at positions 524 to 794 of the family's 1533-position model. The record is from RNAcentral.